AUGAAAACAGGGGAUUAAGUCGAGCUUCCCAAGCUGAAUACGAGGGUUCGAUUCCCUUCACCCGCUCCA
RNAcentral lists this transfer RNA (69 nucleotides) under Rhizobium metallidurans. RNAcentral describes it as "tRNA-Gly". The record is from RNAcentral. Lineage: Bacteria; Pseudomonadati; Pseudomonadota; Alphaproteobacteria; Hyphomicrobiales; Rhizobiaceae.